AAAAAUUAGCCAGGUAUGGUAGCACAUGCCUGUAAUCCCAGCUACUCAGGAGGCUGAGGUAGGAGAAUAGCUUGAACCUAAGAGACGGAGGAUGCAGCGAGCCGAGGCUGCACCAUCGCACUACAGCCUGCGCAACAGAGUGAGAUGUGGUCUCAGAAAAA
Long non-coding RNA from Sapajus apella (tufted capuchin), 161 nucleotides. RefSeq lists it as uncharacterized. The record is from RefSeq and is a predicted model, not a curated record. The transcript is spliced from 2 exons. Lineage: Eukaryota; Metazoa; Chordata; Mammalia; Primates; Cebidae.